This 1169-nucleotide unclassified non-coding RNA is filed under the name Bombus terrestris (buff-tailed bumblebee). RNAcentral describes it as "misc RNA ENSBTSG00005028199.1". Lineage: Eukaryota; Metazoa; Arthropoda; Insecta; Hymenoptera; Apidae. The record is from RNAcentral.
CCGGAGUAAUAACGACAGUAAUGACUAGAGUGUGAAAGAAUAGUCGAGAGUCGCUUGCAACGGAAAUUCUUUGGAUGAAUAUGCAUGCGUCGAGUGUGUGUGACUAUGGAAACGCUGUUGGGAACGGUACGCUCUCUCGUUGCAUUCUAACCCGAUGAUUUGUUUCUGCUUACAGAACUGUUUCUAUGUGGUGGCGCACGAAAAACUAUUCUCGUUAUUUCAGCUUGAUUUCCAGCGCUUGUAUGUCGCUGUUCGCUCUGUACCCACCCUUUCCACCACCGUUAAAAUGAUAAAUAGUGGACGAGAAAAGUUAUCGCGCAGCGUUCAUACACGAGGUGGUCACUGAUCGAUAUUAUAGGUCAGGUUUGCUCUCUGAAUACUGUGCCAUAGGACCAAACGGCAGUGAGUUUGAUAGUGAUGAUACAGUGACGCGUCACAACCGAGUACUGUUAGCUAUGUUCUAUCAACUUCUCGUGUGAAAUUAAUUUUUUAAAAACAUUAAAGUUAUGUUCUUCGUGUUUUGCGCCGAUCGAUUACACUAGGCAUAUACAUAUAUGUCAUUUUUCAGCAGAUAUCCGUUGUGCGUAUUUUAACGAAUAAAACGUGAGUUCGUAAUAAACGAAUUGUUUGCAUUUAUAUUCGAAUGUCUUAGAGAGAACAGAAGAAACAUUUCAAAUUCUAAUCUCGUGCUGAAGUUUCUCUCAAAAUAUUAAAACGCUCCCUGUUUUACUGAAACGAGAACGAGCUAUCCGUUUUUCAGCGUGGACACCGAAACAUCUCUGCCAUCGACGUUUAUUCGCUUAAAAAAUUGAUUGUACAGCAUGCGACGAAUCAAGCUCGAGUGGCCAAUAGCUGGUCUAGUGCUUUUCAACCUGCCGCUAAGUUUUCCCCCUUCUGUCCCUGCUUUGUCUCGCACUCAACCUGCUUUCGACCUCUCCAGUUGAGCCGGCUUCCUUCUUCCACCGAUUAAGAUUACCCACGUAAACAUACUCGAAAAGAGGUAAAUGCGAAUAGCUUGUGCUCCUAGUGAAAAGUAUUAACUGUAUUCACUUGACCUUUCGUUGAGUGUCGAUCGGCCAAGUCCUGGCCGCCAUCUUGUCGACCGGUAAAUUGUCUUUACGGAGUUGACACGGAGAAAGACAAAAAAUGAGAAAGAGAUCGAUGCCGAA